This 253-nucleotide ribosomal RNA is filed under the name uncultured bacterium. RNAcentral's name for it is "partial 16S ribosomal RNA". It matches the Rfam family "Bacterial small subunit ribosomal RNA", at positions 524 to 776 of the family's 1533-position model. The record is from RNAcentral.
UACAGAGGUCUCUAGCGUUGUUCGGAUUCAUUGGGCGUAAAGGGUGCGUAGGCGGCGCGGUAAGUCGGGUGUGAAAUCUUGGAGCUUAACUCCGAAACUGCAUUCGAUACUGCCGUGCUUGAGGACUGGAGAGGAGACUGGAAUUUACGGUGUAGCGGUGAAAUGCGUAGAUAUCGUAAGGAAGACCAGUGGCGAAGGCGGGUCUCUGGACAGAUACUGACGCUGAGGCACGAAAGCGAGGGGAGCAAACGGG